Helianthus annuus (common sunflower) is the source of this 958-nucleotide long non-coding RNA. RefSeq lists it as uncharacterized. NCBI's taxonomy places the organism in Eukaryota, Viridiplantae, Streptophyta, Magnoliopsida, Asterales, Asteraceae. The record is from RefSeq and is a predicted model, not a curated record. The transcript is spliced from 4 exons.
CCAAAUCUCACUAAUCCAAAUUCCAUACCUUUUAUCUACUCAAUACCCACUCAUUUUCUCUCUCAAAAUCUCCUUUCAUAGUGGAUCUAAAUAGGCUAAAACGAGAGGGCGUUCUUGGUGUUUUAUAAUAGAGGUUCGAUACGGGGGAAGAUAAUGGAGUUAGGGUUUUUCUGUUGAGGUCUUUUGUGAUGGUUCGAAGUCUUCAUCCGUCAAUCGUCACCCAAAAGGCCAAAAAAAUCAAACGCUACUUUACCCCUCUCGGCUGAAACACAAUAGCCUCCGGCGACCGGCAGGCUUCAGUGGUUCCCUCUCGAUUGAAAUACAACAGCUCUCCAUUAUAUAUUCAGAUUCAGAGAGGACCUGGCUCCUGAGAUUGAAAAGAGACGACAUAAGUUGAAGAAGGCUGCUAGUUUGCUUGCCUGUGCAAGAAGAGGUCGGGUAAACGUGGAUGUCGAUAAAAUCGAAUGCGAGUCUUGCUGUGCCACCCUCAAGUAUGUCGCACCGGAUUCAACGACUCCUACAAAAGGUGGUAAUGUAGGAGAAGAAUUCGGCAAUCAGCUUGAUGAAGGACACAAAGUAAUUUGCCCAUGGAGAGGAAACAGUUGUGAAGCUUAGUGCAGUUCCCUCCUACGCCGCCAUCAGCCCUAAUUGGCGGUUACAAGGACCAUUGUGACAGGGGAAUUGACUGGAUGAGGGUCUCUAGAGGCCCGGAAAUUGACCGCUUUUUGGUUCAGUUGCAUACUUUCGCCACAGGGGAAUCAGGUUUUCAGGCAGACAUCGCAUCUGGUUCAGAUAAUGCCAGAGAAGAGGCGUCAUGCAUAUAUUCACGUGUAACAAUGGUGGUUUGGUGAUUUAAGCUGGUUCAAAAUUUAUGUUGUUUGUUCCGGAUCUUUAUGUUUAACAAUGGUGAUUUUGUAAUUUAACAUGCUCCGAAUUUAUGCUAUUUGUUUUUGUUGAA